UGGGGAAUAUUGCGCAAUGGGCGAAAGCCUGACGCAGCGACGCCGCGUGAGGGAUGAAGGUUCUCGGAUCGUAAACCUCUGUCAGAAGGGAAGAAACCGCACCGUGCUAAUCAGCGGUGCAUUGACGGUACCUUCAAAGGAAGCACCGGCUAACUCCGUGCCAGCAGCCGCGGUAAUACGGAGGGUGCAAGCGUUAAUCGGAAUUACUGGGCGUAAAGCGCACGUAGGCUGCUUUGUAAGUCAGGGGUGAAAUCCCACGGCUCAACCGUGGAACUGCCUUUGAUACUGCUUAGCUUGAAUCCGGGAGAGGGUGGCGGAAUUCCAGGUGUAGGAGUGAAAUCCGUAGAUAUCUGGAGGAACAUCAGUGGCGAAGGCGGCCACCUGGACCGGUAUUGACGCUGA
Molecule: ribosomal RNA, 402 nt
Filed under: uncultured bacterium
Lineage: Bacteria
Description: bacterial SSU rRNA
Rfam family: Bacterial small subunit ribosomal RNA
Source: RNAcentral